Molecule: ribosomal RNA, 368 nt
Filed under: bacterium 19BL
Lineage: Bacteria
Description: bacterial SSU rRNA
Rfam family: Bacterial small subunit ribosomal RNA
Source: RNAcentral
AGGUACUCGAGUGGCGAACGGGUGAGUAACACGUGGGUGAUCUGCCCUGCACUGUGGGAUAAGCCUGGGAAACUGGGUCUAAUACCAUAUAGGACCGCAUCUUGGAUGGUGUGGUGGAAAGCUUUUGCGGUGUGGGAUGAGCCUGCGGCCUAUCAGCUUGUUGGUGGGGUAAUGGCCUACCAAGGCGGCGACGGGUAUCCGGCCUGAGAGGGUGUACGGACACAUUGGGACUGAGAUACGGCCCAGACUCCUACGGGAGGCAGCAGUGGGGAAUAUUGCACAAUGGGCGCAAGCCUGAUGCAGCGACGCCGCGUGGGGGAUGAAGGCCUUCGGGUUGUAAACUCCUUUCGCUAUCGACGAAGCCACUU